This 471-nucleotide long non-coding RNA is filed under the name Panax ginseng (ginseng). RNAcentral's name for it is "long non-coding RNA (PGIN_LNC007543)". Lineage: Eukaryota; Viridiplantae; Streptophyta; Magnoliopsida; Apiales; Araliaceae. The record is from RNAcentral.
CUGCAAACCUGCCGGAAGAAAAACACAGCAUGAGCCAAUUGCCCAGUACGGAUACAGAUAUACAAAAGAUAUACAACUGAUAUACGAAAAUAACUGAGACAAAAUACUGAACAAAACCUCAAGUGCAAAUACGAACGAAAAUAUAAUAUCCAAAGAUUUGAAUGGAAUAUAUCUGAAUCAACGUAAUGAAUAUAUCUGAAUCAACGUAAUUGACGAAACCAAUAAAAGAAUAAAGAAAUAACGAACUGAAGUAACUAACUCAAUGACUUGAACUGAACAGAAAUCAACAAAACUAAUCCAAUAAAAUAAUAGGCUGAAACAAAUGGCUGGAGUUAUUUUAUACCGAAUGAGGUCAGAAAUACACAUUACCACACAGGCAAGUCAAAAUAAUGCCACACAGGCAACCAAAAUAAUGUCACACAGGCAAAUCACACAUUGGACCGCGAAUCCAAAUGUAUACAAAUCGGAUAG